RNAcentral lists this ribosomal RNA (253 nucleotides) under uncultured bacterium. Its description in RNAcentral is "partial 16S ribosomal RNA". It matches the Rfam family "Bacterial small subunit ribosomal RNA", at positions 524 to 776 of the family's 1533-position model. The record is from RNAcentral.
UACGAAGGGGGCUAGCGUUGUUCGGAAUUACUGGGCGUAAAGCGCGUGUAGGCGGCCAAGUGUGUCGGAUGUGAAAUCCCACGGCUCAACCGUGGAAGUGCAUUCGAAACUGCUUGGCUGGAGUUUCGGAGAGGAAGGCGGAAUGCUUGGUGUAGAGGUGAAAUUCGUAGAUAUCAAGCAGAACACCUGUGGCGAAGGCGGCCUUCUGGACGAUGACUGACGCUGAGACGCGAAAGCGUGGGGAGCAAACAGG